GUACUUACCUGGCAGGGAAGAUACCAUGACCAUGACAGUGGUUUGCCAGGGUGAGGCUUAUCCUUUGCACUCCAAAUGUCCUGAUCACUGCAAUUUCCCAAAAUGUGGGAAACUCAACAGCACAAUUUGUGGUAGUAAGGGGACUGCAUUUCCACUCUCCUC
This is a small nuclear RNA of Sorex fumeus (smoky shrew), 162 nucleotides long. RefSeq annotates it as U1 spliceosomal RNA. The transcript has a single exon. The record is from RefSeq and is a predicted model, not a curated record. Lineage: Eukaryota; Metazoa; Chordata; Mammalia; Eulipotyphla; Soricidae.